Molecule: ribosomal RNA, 253 nt
Filed under: uncultured bacterium
Lineage: Bacteria
Description: partial 16S ribosomal RNA
Rfam family: Bacterial small subunit ribosomal RNA
Source: RNAcentral
GACGGAGGAUGCAAGCGUUAUCCGGAAUGAUUGGGCGUAAAGCGUCCGCAGGUGGCAGUUCAAGUCUGCUGUCAAAGACCGGGGCUUAACUUCGGAAAGGCAGUGGAAACUGAACAGCUAGAGUAUGGUAGGGGCAGAGGGAAUUCCUGGUGUAGCGGUGAAAUGCGUAGAGAUCAGGAAGAACAUCGGUGGCGAAGGCGCUCUGCUGGACCAUAACUGACACUUAGGGACGAAAGCUAGGGGAGCGAAUGGG